RNAcentral lists this ribosomal RNA (465 nucleotides) under uncultured bacterium. Its description in RNAcentral is "partial 16S ribosomal RNA". It matches the Rfam family "Bacterial small subunit ribosomal RNA", at positions 338 to 795 of the family's 1533-position model. The record is from RNAcentral.
CCUACGGGAGGCAGCAGUAGGGAAUCUUCCACAAUGGGCGCAAGCCUGAUGGAGCAACACCGCGUGAGUGAAGAAGGGUUUCGGCUCGUAAAGCUCUGUUGUUGGAGAAGAACGUGCGUGAGAGUAACUGUUCACGCAGUGACGGUAUCCAACCAGAAAGUCCCGGCUAACUACGUGCCAGCAGCCGCGGUAAUACGUAGGUGGCAAGCGUUAUCCGGAUUUAUUGGGCGUAAAGCGAGCGCAGGCGGUUGCUUAGGUCUGAUGUGAAAGCCUUCGGCUUAACCGAAGAAGUGCAUCGGAAACCGGGCAACUUGAGUGCAGAAGAGGACAGUGGAACUCCAUGUGUAGCGGUGGAAUGCGUAGAUAUAUGGAAGAACACCAGUGGCGAAGGCGGCUGUCUGGUCUGCAACUGACGCUGAGGCUCGAAAGCAUGGGUAGCGAACAGGAUUAGAUACCCGGGUAGUC